UGGGGAAUAUUGCACAAUGGGCGCAAGCCUGAUGCAGCAACGCCGCGUGAGGGACGACGGCCUUCGGGUUGUAAACCUCUUUUAGUAGGGAAGAAGCGAAAGUGACGGUACCUGCAGAAAAAGCACCGGCUAACUACGUGCCAGCAGCCGCGGUAAUACGUAGGGUGCAAGCGUUAUCCGGAAUUAUUGGGCGUAAAGAGCUCGUAGGCGGUUUGUCGCGUCUGCUGUGAAAACUGGAGGCUCAACCUCCAGCCUGCAGUGGGUACGGGCAAACUAGAGUGCGGUAGGGGAGAUUGGAAUUCCUGGUGUAGCGGUGGAAUGCGCAGAUAUCAGGAGGAACACCGAUGGCGAAGGCAGAUCUCUGGGCCGUAACUGACGCUGAGGAGCGAAAGCAUGGGGAGCGAACA
Molecule: ribosomal RNA, 407 nt
Filed under: uncultured bacterium
Lineage: Bacteria
Also listed under: 1 other name
Description: bacterial SSU rRNA
Rfam family: Bacterial small subunit ribosomal RNA
Source: RNAcentral